Gossypium hirsutum (cotton) is the source of this 151-nucleotide non-coding RNA. The record is from Rfam. NCBI's taxonomy places the organism in Eukaryota, Viridiplantae, Streptophyta, Magnoliopsida, Malvales, Malvaceae.
AUCUUUGCGCUUGGGGCAAUGACGCAGCUCAUGAGGUUCUAACCGAGGCGCGUCUAUUGCUGGUUGAAAACUAUUUCCAAACCCCCUCUUAGGCCUGGGCUUGUCCCUGGCCUUCGAGAAUUUCUGGAAGGGCUCCCUAUGGGGUAAAGCC